GGAAUAUUGGACAAUGGGCGCAAGCCUGAGCCAGCCAUGCCGCGUGGGUGAAGAAGGCCUUAGGGUUGUAAACCCCUUUCAGCGGGGAAGAUAAUGACGGUACCCGCAGAAGAAGUCCCGGCUCACUCCGUGCCAGCAGCCGCGGUAAUACGGAGGGGACUAGCGUUGUUCGGAAUUACUGGGCGUAAAGCGCACGUAGGCGGAUUCGUAAGUCAGGGGUGAAAUCCCGAGGCUCAACCUCGGAACUGCCUUUGAUACUGCGAAUCUCGAGUCCGGAAGAGGUGAGUGGAAUUCCUAGUGUAGAGGUGAAAUUCGUAGAUAUUCGGAAGAACACCAGUGGCGAAGGCGACUCGCUGGACAAGUAUUGACGCUGAGGUGCGAAAGCGUGGGGAGCAAA
RNAcentral lists this ribosomal RNA (397 nucleotides) under uncultured bacterium. Its description in RNAcentral is "bacterial SSU rRNA". It matches the Rfam family "Bacterial small subunit ribosomal RNA", at positions 358 to 772 of the family's 1533-position model. The record is from RNAcentral.